GCAGGUAUAGCUCAGUCGGAAGAGCACCGCGUUGCCAACGCGAAGGCGCGAGUUCGAAUCUCGCUACCCGCUCCA
Molecule: transfer RNA, 75 nt
Filed under: Mesorhizobium sp. M8A.F.Ca.ET.021.01.1.1
Lineage: Bacteria; Pseudomonadati; Pseudomonadota; Alphaproteobacteria; Hyphomicrobiales; Phyllobacteriaceae
Also listed under: 1 other name
Description: tRNA-Gly
Rfam family: tRNA
About the family: Transfer RNA (tRNA) molecules are approximately 80 nucleotides in length. Their secondary structure includes four short double-helical elements and three loops (D, anti-codon, and T loops).
Source: RNAcentral